GACGAACGCUGGCGGCAUGCUUAACACAUGCAAGUCGAACGCUAAACCCUGGUGCUUGUACUUCGUGUAUGAGUGGCGAACGUGUCAGUAAAACGUGAGUAACCUGCCGUGGACUCUGAGAUAAGCCUGGCUGACUGUGUCUAAUACUGGAUGCGACAUGUCGCCGCAUGGGCCUGUGGGGGAGGGGGUUUACUGGUGUUGGAUUGGCUCGCGGCCUAUCUGCUUGUUGGUGGGGUAGUGGCUCAUCAGGGCGACGACGGGUAGCCGCCCUGAGAGGGUGACCGGCCACACUGGGACUGAGACAAGGCCGAGAAGCCUACGGGAGGCAGCAGUGGGGAAUAUUGCACAAUGGGCGGAAGCAGGAUGAAGCGACGCCGCGUGAGGGAUGACGGCCUUCGGGUUGUAGUCAUCUUUUAGCACGGAAGAAGAGACAGUGACGGUACGUGGAGAAGAAGCGCCGGCUAACUACGUG
RNAcentral lists this ribosomal RNA (472 nucleotides) under uncultured bacterium. RNAcentral's name for it is "partial 16S ribosomal RNA". It matches the Rfam family "Bacterial small subunit ribosomal RNA", at positions 28 to 507 of the family's 1533-position model. The record is from RNAcentral.